UACGUAGGGUGCAAGCGUUGUUCGGAUUUACUGGGCGUAAAGGGCGCGUAGGCGGCGCGGUAAGUCACUUGUGAAAUCUCUGAGCUUAACUCAGAACGGCCAAGUGAUACUGCAGUGCUAGAGUGCAGAAAGGGCAAUCGGAAUUCUUGGUGUAGCGGUGAAAUGCGUUGAUAUCUGGAGGAACACCGGUGGCGAAGGCGGCAUCCUGGACCGAGAUUGACGCUGAUGCGCGAAAGCUAGGGUAGCAAACGGG
This 253-nucleotide ribosomal RNA is filed under the name uncultured bacterium. RNAcentral's name for it is "partial 16S ribosomal RNA". It matches the Rfam family "Bacterial small subunit ribosomal RNA", at positions 524 to 776 of the family's 1533-position model. The record is from RNAcentral.